CCUACGGGAGGCAGCAGUGGGGAAUCUUGCGCAAUGGACGAAAGUCUGACGCAGCGACGCCGCGUGGGUGAUGAAGGCCUUCGGUUGUAAAGCCCGGGAAGUAGUGCAACGGUAUCUCCUUAGCAAGCACCGGCUAACUCUGUGCCAGCAGCCGCGGUAAGACAGAGGGUGCAAACGUUGUUCGGAAUUACGGGCGUAAAGCGUGUGUAGGCGGCUACGAAAGUCGGAUGUGAAAUCCCCGGGCUCAACCCGGGAAGUGCACCCGAUACUACGUGGCUUGAGUACCGGAGAGGUUGGUGGAAUUCUCGGUGUAGAGGUGAAAUUCGUAGAUAUCGAGAGGAACACCGGUGGCGAAGCGGCCAACUGGACGAGACUGACGCUGAGACACGAAAGCGUGGGGAGCAAACAGGAUUAGAUACCCUUGUAGUC
Molecule: ribosomal RNA, 429 nt
Filed under: uncultured bacterium
Lineage: Bacteria
Description: partial 16S ribosomal RNA
Rfam family: Bacterial small subunit ribosomal RNA
Source: RNAcentral